Molecule: long non-coding RNA, 3994 nt
Organism: Monodelphis domestica (gray short-tailed opossum)
Lineage: Eukaryota; Metazoa; Chordata; Mammalia; Didelphimorphia; Didelphidae
Source: RefSeq, a predicted model, not a curated record
AGUCCGGGAUGGAUGGGCGUUCUGGAACUGUCUGUAUCUUGGAGGCAGCAUUCCCUAGCUGCCCAAGAAUGGCCAGCAUCUUUGGUGGAAGGGCCAACGUUCUGUGCACUAUGGCGCCUCCCAGCUGCCCAGGGAGGACCCAGCACUUCUGGUAUGGCCUCCCUGCUCAUCCACCUUUGGGCUUCACUUAGCUCUGGGCUGCCCCUCCAAGAAACUGUAGCGUUACCCAAAAGCCGGACCCUGCCAGGAAAGGCUCCUGGAUUCUGGGCAGACCUGGGCUGUGAAUUUUCUAUCAUCAAGAGCAGAAAAGAGGAAAAACAGAAUAAAAAUUCUUGGAGAUAACUUCUGAAAUAAUUAAAAGACCAGCUGGUUGAAAAAGAUUUGCCUGAAAUUCCAAGCCUGAAUGGAGCAGGGAGCUAACUUGAAGGAUGCUAUGGCUUUCUUCACUUUGAUAAGAACACCCAAACCACCAAACAACCUUAAAGGUCUAACAAACAGGAUACUGGAAGGAAUAUCACACCUGAGCAUUGAGGAUCUUUGCAAUUGAGAGACGAUCUUUUUGGUUAAGGGAAGUCCUCCAAGCUCUGCACAUACUUCUUUCAUCUUUUCUUUUCCUAAGAUUCACCUCAUAACCUUAAAACAUAGCCCCUUCUGAAGAUGUCUGAUGGGAGGAGAGAAUCCCCCAUACCCUCAAAAAUCUAGCAAUCUGAAACCACAGGUAGGUCUGCAACCCCUCCAGACUGGGGUCAUUCCAUAGCUGUAAUGCUAUCUCACCACCAUGGGUGAUUUCUUACCCCCUUCCAAAUGCCCCCCCCCCCAAUACUAUCUGUAACAUCCCUGAAUAAAUACUUCCAGGUCUUCAGAUGCAAGGGCUGGAGCAAGAACCAGAAUUUGCUCUCCCACCACAAAUUCACUCUCCUGCAGCACUUAGGGAGACCAUUGGUGGUUUCUAUGAGAAUUCCCUACUUAAAGAUUUUCUGGGUUGCAAGAAUGUAAGAGCUCCCCCCCCAACAAAAAAAUAGCUUUUAUUGGGAUGCCCCAGUCCAAGAACAUCAAAUGAAGUUCCUUUCUAUCUUAACUCCUGAUUCAGACAUGUUCCUGGGGAGGCUGGGUCUGUUUUUUGGUUUAAGAUUCUUCCAACUGUUCUAAUCCAUUGGGAGGAUAGUAGUCACAUUGAGAGAGACAAAAGUAAAGGAUUAUAUAAAAUAUAUACUGUGGGGGUGGGACAAGAAGUCAAGGGAUUUGGUUCACAUCAAGAUAGAAUUUACAUUUAAUAUUCUAAGUCUUACCUAGAACCUUAUCUAGAAACUAGUAUACUUUUGAACUCAAUGUCUUUCCUCCUACUUAGACAAAAGGGAGAUAUUUGUGUGGGGAAAAGCACAAGAACAAGAGAGACAGACCAUGUGGCCAGGACAAGGAAGUUAUACAGCUAGUCUUUGGUUUUAUGAUCUAUCCUAAGAGUUCACACCUGCCUAAUUAAAACAAAACAAAUACAAGGAGUCUACACUUUGCUGAAGAAUUUACACCUUGUCAUAUAUAUUUACUAUUUAUCCUUAGGUUGAAAAUUCUUUAAAUGUAAGAACUUUGAGAGAGGUGUGUUUACUUACUUUCCAGAAUCACAAAAUGGCUGAGGAAUUUCUUUGUCCAAUUUAUGCCUAGAGAAGAAGCCCAACACUACUCUCCCUUCCAAGAGUUCCUCUAGACUAACCCCAGUGAGGGAGAACCCAAAGUCUACUAAUUUCCAACUCUAAUUCCGGUAUUCUAAUUGAUCCCCUUACAUCCAUUUUCUUUAUACUACAAUUCAUUCUCCAUUUGGUUUCCAAAGUAAUUUUUCUAAACCAUAGCUCUGAACAUAUAUUCCCAUACCUAUUAAAUAAAUUCGAGAAAAGACAAGAUUUAAUAUGAAAGCAAGUUUGUUAUUUAGAGUUGGCAUUUUGCACAGUAAAAGGGGAGGUUGUUGUUGAGGGGAAUGAGAAUAAGGAAUUAGUAGGGGAAGAGUAAUGGAUUUUAGAUCAUGAUCAACACAGGGUUCAGAAUCAUUACAAUGUGGAAGAUAUUACCAAGGUAAAAGUUUGUUCAUUACUGAGUGAAAAUUUUAGAGAGAUUGAAUUAUUUCAGAACCUUGUGUAGUUGUAAGAGAAAAGGAACUUGGAGCAGAAGGAGUAGUGAAAGAGAGAUCUCUUUCUCCAAAGCACAGACUGGAAUUUGAUGAAAUAGUGCCUUCUUUCAACACCCUGACAGAAGGAGACUUGUAUGAUGGAAUGGUAUUUUCCCUUUCCCCAUAGGAGGUCCACGAGGCAAGAGAUAACUGAGAUUUGAUGGUAAAGAGCCCAUCUCUCUACUUCCUACACCCAUAGGAAGGUAGAGAUCAAGAAAGAGACAGGGGAUAGAUGGGAGAUGCCUACUUCUUCUUUUCCCACUCUUACUUGGAAGCUGGUGAUCACCCCUUCUUCCCCUUCUGAGGGCUAGAUAUCAAGCAGAAGUUAGAAACAUUAAGAUGGAAGGUGCCUACCUUUCUCUUUUCUUACCUUUCCCCCCCCUUCUUGCCCAAGGCUAAAGAUUAGACAGAGAAAAAAGCAGAAAAAUGGAAAGUGCAGCUCUCUUCUCUUUCCACUCUAACCUGGAGGUUGGAGAUUACUUCUUCUUCAUCCUAAGGCUGGCCAUUAGACAGAGGAUUAAUUAUCUAAUUCUGCUUCUUUUUUUAUCCUUCCAGUUAGGUAGUUAGAGAAAGUCUCCCUUAUUUUUCCCCUUCAAUUUCUUGUGGUUGCUAAGUGUUUUCAUUUUCUGUACUUUUCUAAAAAAACAAACAAACAAAAAACAAUAAAAAUAUUUCUUUCCCUCAUCCUCUUUAUUGUCCUUUAUUCCUUUACUUUUUGUGCUAUUAAUGGAAUUGAAACUCUGAAAGUACCUAUUUUUACCCUGUGUAUCUUUACCUCUGUUCCCUCUUAGAAGUAGCAUUUUCUCUGAAAAGAUGUCCAUCAACUGGGGAAUUGUCAGAGGUUGAUAACUUGGAGCUCAUCUAAGAUAAAGAUCUGAGUGUCCUCUGUCAAGAGGUUGAAACUCAGAGUCUGUCUGAGAACAAGCCCAAGUGCCUUCUCUAUCUCCUUCUUUAGGCCUCUCAUAGUGUCUAUUGCUGGCAAAGACAUGCUGUUGCUGACCAUUCAAUGAACCUUGGAUGGUGCUUGAAUCAUUAUUUUAACCCAAGUGCCUAUCUACAUUUCUUGGAAAUAUUCUCUCACCCUAAUUCCUGGAAUCCUUAUCUUGCACCAGGUGUCAUAACUACCAUCCUUGUUGCACUUUCCCUAGGACUGUCUCAGACCUUUACCAAGGACCUGUCUCAAAGGAAUGCUUUCAUUCUUUGUGAUCUGUACCUUUAAAAGUUGUUAGUUGCCUGCAAUAAACUGUAUUUUGCCUGCCAUCAGUAAGGUGAAAAUCCUUCUGACUCCACACUGUGUCUGUUAUCUUUUGAUUCUUAUCUUUUCCUUUGUCCUUACCUACAGGCAAAGUCCUUAUAUUUACACCUUUGUAAUUCUUCUAUUAUUUUCCUUCAUCCUUACCUAGGGAACUCUGGUCCCAGUCCUGCCCCCCCCCCUUGGGGCUAUUACAGGGAAUAGCUGAACAAGUUGUGGAAUAUGAUUGUAAUGGAUACUAUUGUGUUGUAAGAAAUGACAAACAAGACAAUCACACACACACACACACACACACAAACCCUAGAAAAACUUAUGAAAUGAUGCAAAGUGAAGUUAGCAGAAUCAGGAGAAUGUUGUACACAGUAACAACAGUGUACUAUGAUUAACUGUGAAUGAGUUGAGUAUUAUCAGCGAUGCAAGGAUCUAGGACAACUCCAAGGACUGGGAUUUGAUGGUAAAGAGUCCAUGGCUCCAGCUCAUGAUGAAAAAGGCUAUCCCUUGACACUUUCUUCACUUUAUUUCCAUCAUGGAUUUUCUCUAGUAUAAGCAAUAUGUGUCUUAUUUCUCAACAUAAUGAAUGUGGA